This 506-nucleotide ribosomal RNA is filed under the name uncultured bacterium. RNAcentral's name for it is "partial 16S ribosomal RNA". It matches the Rfam family "Bacterial small subunit ribosomal RNA", at positions 29 to 523 of the family's 1533-position model. The record is from RNAcentral.
AGUGAACGCUGGCGGUAGGCCUAACACAUGCAAGUCGAACGGCAGCACAGGAGAGCUUGCUCUCUGGGUGGCGAGUGGCGGACGGGUGAGGAGUACAUCGGAAUCUACUCUGUCGUGGGGGAUAACGUAGGGAAACUUGCGCUAAUACCGCAUACGACCUACGGGUGAAAGCAGGGGACCUUCGGGCCUUGCGCGAUUGAAUGAGCCGAUGUCGGAUUAGCUAGUUGGCGGGGUAAAGGCCCACCAAGGCGACGAUCCGUAGCUGGUCUGAGAGGAUGAUCAGCCACACUGGAACUGAGACACGGUCCAGACUCCUACGGGAGUCAGCAGUGGGGAAUAUUGGACAAUGGGCGCAAGCCUGAUCCAGCCAUACCGCGUGGGUGAAGAAGGCCUUCGGGUUGUAAGGCCCUUUUGUUGGGAAAGAAAUCCAGCUGGCUAAUACCCGGUUGGGAUGACGGUACCCAAAGAAUAAGCACCGGCUAACUUCGUGCCAGCAGCCGCCGUAA